UACGGAGGGUGCAAGCGUUAAUCGGAAUUACUGGGCGUAAAGCGCACGCAGGUGGCUGAGUCAGUCGAUUGUGAAAGCCCUGGGCUUAACCUGGGAAUUGCAGUCGAUACUACUCAGCUAGAGUAUGGGAGAGGGUAGUGGAAUUCCCGGUGUAGCGGUGAAAUGCGCAGAUAUCGGGAGGAACACCAGUAGCGAAGGCGGCUCGCUGGGCCAUUCCUGACGCUGAGACGCGAAAGCUAGGGGAGCGAACAGG
RNAcentral lists this ribosomal RNA (253 nucleotides) under uncultured bacterium. Its description in RNAcentral is "partial 16S ribosomal RNA". It matches the Rfam family "Bacterial small subunit ribosomal RNA", at positions 524 to 776 of the family's 1533-position model. The record is from RNAcentral.